GGCUUUACCCUGCAAGUCGAGCGGUAGCACAGGGGAGCUUGCUCCCUGGGUGACGAGCGGCGGACGGGAGAGUAAUGUCUGGGAAACUGCCUGAUGGAGGGGGAUAACUACUGGAAACGGUAGCUAAUACCGCAUAACGUCGCAAGACCAAAGAGGGGGACCUUCGGGCCUCUUGCCAUCAGAUGUGCCCAGAUGGGAUUAGCUAGUAGGUGGGGUAAUGGCUCACCUAGGCGACGAUCCCUAGCUGGUCUGAGAGGAUGACCAGCCACACUGGAACUGAGACACGGUCCAGACUCCUACGGGAGGCAGCAGUGGGGAAUAUUGCACAAUGGGCGCAAGCCUGAUGCAGCCAUGCCGCGUGUGUGAAGAAGGCCUUCGGGUUGUAAAGCACUUUCAGCGAGGAGGAAGGUGGUGAACUUAAUACGUUCAUCAAUUGACGUUACUCGCAGAAGAAGCACCGGCUAACUCCGUGCCAGCAGCCGCGGUAAUACGGAGGGUGCAAGCGUUAAUCGGAAUUACUGGGCGUAAAGCGCACGCAGGCGGUUUGUUAAGUCAGAUGUGAAAUCCCCGGGCUCAACCUGGGAACUGCAUUUGAAACUGGCAAGCUAGAGUCUCGUAGAGGGGGGUAGAAUUCCAGGUGUAACGGUGAAAUGCGUAAAGAUCUGGAGGAAUACCGGUGGCGAAGGCGGGCCCCCUGGACGAAAACU
Molecule: ribosomal RNA, 707 nt
Filed under: Serratia sp. ME3
Lineage: Bacteria; Pseudomonadati; Pseudomonadota; Gammaproteobacteria; Enterobacterales; Yersiniaceae
Description: bacterial SSU rRNA
Rfam family: Bacterial small subunit ribosomal RNA
Source: RNAcentral